RNAcentral lists this long non-coding RNA (925 nucleotides) under Equus caballus (horse). Its description in RNAcentral is "lncRNA (ENSECAG00000043856.1)". Lineage: Eukaryota; Metazoa; Chordata; Mammalia; Perissodactyla; Equidae. The record is from RNAcentral.
UUCACCCAGAUAGUAAGGUUCCAUUUGGUGAUGGGGAAUGGAAGUAAGUCUAGCUCUUUUCCCACAGAAGGAGGUACAGCCAUCUGGCGUUUGGAGAUUUUGAAUUUCUUGUUAAUGGCAAAAUCUGGAACAUUGUUGCGACUCAGGCAGCUAGUCCAUGAUGGUCACCGUUCCGAAGGAAAAAGAGCAGCCUUGGGUAGGGACACUGCUCAUGGGGAUCUACGUCAUGUAAAUGUCCACCGAGAAAGGGACCAACACAACUAGUCUGAAAAUGCCAAUAUGGCAUCCCUGAGGAGGAGGUGGACCUGCCCCUGGAAUGCAGAACAUACCUUCUAAGAUGUCAUGAAACGUACGUUCUCAUUCCAUCCCUCCGUUACAUGUGGAACUGCCCAGGAGGUUUGGGGACCUGUUAUGCUGAGAUGAUAACUUCAGAGCGUUCUUCUAAGUGCUUUACAGAUGAUUACCUUAUUUAAUUCUUAUGACAACCUUGUGAAAUAGGUACUAUUGAUUUACGGAUAGAGAAAUGGAGGCAAGGAAAUGAUACUUUACACAGCCCAUUGGAGUGCCCUAUUUUUCAAGACUACCAUCAGCGCUUCAGAUGCAAGAGACAGCAAGCUAGUAUUAGCAGUCCUAAAAAUAAUAGUUGUAAAAAAUAGCUGCACACAUUUCAACUCAGAAACAACACCCACUUUAAAAAGAUGCACCAAUGCUCAGACAGCCACACGGGUUUCCAGGACUUAGUUUUCAAAGUUGCAGAAGUAUUUCCAGUAAAAAAGAUGCUUAGGAAUAGACCGUAGCCAAAAGUAGAAGAAGGAAACUGCAACAUGCUUGGAGGCGACUCUGGAAAACCAAGAAAUCAAAUGGAUUGAAGGCACAGCCCAUGGACCCACAUCUUCCCGGAAAAGAAAUAAAUGGUGUUGGUAGU